GUCGACGAUGAAGCUGGAGCUUGCUCUGGUGGAUUAGUGGCGAACGGGUGAGUAACACGUGAGUAACCUGCCCUUGACUCUGGGAUAACUGCUAGAAAUGGUAGCUAAUACCGGAUACGACCCUCGGAGGCAUCUCCAGGGGGUGGAAAGAAUUUCGGUCAAGGAUGGACUCGCGGCCUAUCAGCUAGUUGGUGAGGUAAUGGCUCACCAAGGCGACGACGGGUAGCCGGCCUGAGAGGGUGACCGGCCACACUGGGACUGAGACACGGCCCAGACUCCUACGGGAGGCAGCAGUGGGGAAUAUUGCACAAUGGGCGAAAGCCUGAUGCAGCAACGCCGCGUGAGGGACGAAGGCCUUCGGGUUGUAAACCUCUUUUAGUAGGGAAGAAGCGAAAGUGACGGUACCUGCAGAAAAAGCACCGGCUAACUACGUGCCAGCAGCCGCGGUAAUACGUAGGGUGCAAGCGUUGUCCGGAAUUAUUGGGCGUAAAGAGCUCGUAGGCGGUUUGUCGCGUCUGCUGUGAAAUCCCGAGGCUCAACCUCGGGCCUGCAGUGGGUACGGGCAGACUAGAGUGCGGUAGGGGAGAUUGGAAUUCCUGGUGUAGCGGUGGAAUGCGCAGAUAUCAGGAGGAACACCAAUGGCGAAGGCAGAUCUCUGGGCCGUUACUGACGCUGAGGAGCGAAAGCGUGGGGGAGCAAA
This 700-nucleotide ribosomal RNA is filed under the name uncultured bacterium. RNAcentral's name for it is "bacterial SSU rRNA". It matches the Rfam family "Bacterial small subunit ribosomal RNA", at positions 61 to 772 of the family's 1533-position model. The record is from RNAcentral.